AACGCUGGCGGCGUGCCUAAUACAUGCAAGUAGAACGCUGAAGAGAGGAGCUUGCUCUUCUUGGAUGAGUUGCGAACGGGUGAGUAACGCGUAGGUAACCUGCCUUGUAGCGGGGGAUAACUAUUGGAAACGAUAGCUAAUACCGCAUAACAAUGGAUGACACAUGUCAUUUAUUUGAAAGGGGCAAUUGUUCCACUACAAGAUGGACCUGCGUUGUAUUAGCUAGUAGGUGAGGUAAUGGCUCACCUAGGCGACGAUACAUAGCCGACCUGAGAGGGUGAUCGGCCACACUGGGACUGAGACACGGCCCAGACUCCUACGGGAGGCAGCAGUAGGGAAUCUUCGGCAAUGGGGGCAACCCUGACCGAGCAACGCCGCGUGAGUGAAGAAGGUUUUCGGAUCGUAAAGCUCUGUUGUAAGUCAAGAACGGGUGUGAGAGUGGAAAGUUCACACUGUGACGGUAGCUUACCAGAAAGGGACGGCUAACUACGUGCCAGCAGCCGCGGUAAUACGUAGGUCCCGAGCGUUGUCCGGAUUUAUUGGGCGUAAAGCGAGCGCAGGCGGUUUGAUAAGUCUGAAGUUAAAGGCUGUGGCUCAACCAUAGUUCGCUUUGGAAACUGUCAAACUUGAGUGCAGAAGGGGAGAGUGGAAUUCCAUGUGUAGCGGUGAAAUGCGUAGAUAUAUGGAGGAACACCGGUGGCGAAAGCGGCUCUCUGGUCUGUAACUGACGCUGAGGCUCGAAAGCGUGGGGAGCGAACAGGAUUAGAUACCCUGGUAGUCCACGCCGUAAACGAUGAGUGCUAGGUGUUGGAUCCUUUCCGGGAUUCAGUGCCGCAGCUAACGCAUUAAGCACUCCGCCUGGGGAGUACGACCGCAAGGUUGAAACUCAAAGGAAUUGACGGGGGCCCGCACAAGCGGUGGAGCAUGUGGUUUAAUUCGAAGCAACGCGAAGAACCUUACCAGGUCUUGACAUCCCGAUGCUAUUUCUAGAGAUAGAAAGUUACUUCGGUACAUCGGUGACAGGUGGUGCAUGGUUGUCGUCAGCUCGUGUCGUGAGAUGUUGGGUUAAGUCCCGCAACGAGCGCAACCCCUAUUGUUAGUUGCCAUCAUUCAGUUGGGCACUCUAGCGAGACUGCCGGUAAUAAACCGGAGGAAGGUGGGGAUGACGUCAAAUCAUCAUGCCCCCUAUGACCUGGGCUACACACGUGCUACAAUGGUUGGUACAACGAGUUGCGAGUCGGUGACGGCGAGCUAAUCUCUUAAAGCCAAUCUCAGUUCGGAUUGUAGGCUGCAACUCGCCUACAUGAAGUCGGAAUCGCUAGUAAUCGCGGAUCAGCACGCCGCGGUGAAUACGUUCCCGGGCCUUGUACACACCGCCCGUCACACCACGAGAGUUUGUAACACCCGAAGUCGGUGAGGUAACCUUUUGGAGCCAGCCGCCUAAGGUGGGACAGAUGAUUGGGGUGAAG
RNAcentral lists this ribosomal RNA (1469 nucleotides) under uncultured organism. RNAcentral's name for it is "SSU rRNA". It matches the Rfam family "Bacterial small subunit ribosomal RNA". The record is from RNAcentral.